Molecule: long non-coding RNA, 223 nt
Filed under: Mytilus galloprovincialis (Mediterranean mussel)
Lineage: Eukaryota; Metazoa; Mollusca; Bivalvia; Mytilida; Mytilidae
Source: RNAcentral
AAAUUUGAAAAAAUAGGCAGGACAGGAAUUUUGAGUAAAAAAAAAAGGCAGGAUGAGACACUUGCAAAAAAAAAAGCUAGGAUGACAAUUUAGGUAAAAAAAAAGUCAGGAUAAACUUUAAAAAAAAAAGGCAGGACCGAAUAGAGUGAAAAAUAAAAAGGCAGGACAGAGAUUUCAACUUAAAAAAAAUGCAGGACAAAAUUUUUCAUCCUAGCCCCCCCCC